CACUUAGUGGGGAAAUUGAUUCACAAUUUCUGGAAUUGGAUCCCUCAAGAGUCUGAACCUUAGCCAAAACAAUUUCACAUGGGUUGUUCCUCUAAACAUAGGAAAAUUGUUUCUUUUAGAGGAACUACAGCUCUCUUUUCCUCAUAAGUUUAGACCUUAGUUAUAACACGUUGACUGGGACAAUCCCAUCUAAUUUCCCGGCCGGAACAAAUUUGCGAAGGAUUUAACUAAUGAAAACAGAAUUAUCCGCCUAUGUUGACAGGUACAAUCCCAUUCUGUUUUAAUUAGCUGAAUUCAUUUAAGUAGUUGCUUGAAAAUAUGAUUUCUUGGUAGUGGUCGAUUGGUAUUAAAUGUUUGAGAGGAGGAUCCCAACAAGUGGACUAAGUAGGAGUAAGGUCGACAAAAUUCUUCUGUGUUUGAAAAUAAUCUCCAUAUUAUCGAUGUUGAAAAGUAUAUUCUUUUGUUUUUUCGUGAGCACCAACUUGUGAGCUCCUGAUUAAUAAUUAUGUAAUAUAUUUAUUAAAAAAUUUGUCUAUAAAGUCUUGGUAGGUUGUAAGCUACUCAACAGAACUCACACCUCUCUUUCUUUUUUGAAUAUGGAGUUGUUCAUUGCAAUCUACAUUGUUUUUCUCUUUUAUGUUUUCAUUCGACUUUGCAAAAGAUUCUUGGGGCAGAAAAAUAAUUGCUGCUACAUGCUAAAUUAUGAAUGCUACAAGGCCACUGACAGAAAGGUAGACAUCGAAUCCUCUUGUAGAAUCGUUUUGAGAAACAAGAAUCUUGGUUGGGAUGAAUACAAGUUUCUUUUAAAAACCAUGGUCAGUUCAGACAUUGGUGAACAAACUUAUUGUCCCAAAAAUGUCAUUAUGGGUAGAGAGGAGAAUCCCAAUUUCUACAAUUCCUUCUCUAGUAGCCCACAAGAGUGAAGCUCUUGAAGACCCCAAAAAUUGAAGUAGUAUAUUAAAAAACUACACGUACUAAUUGAUAAAAUCGAAGUUUUAUAUUUUAGUUUUGCUUAACAGGUUAUGGUAAGGCAGUUCUAAUACGCUAUGUUUUGUUUACUUUGAUGUAUAUUUAAUAUAGCUUCAACAUGGAUAGUCACAGAGUUAGGAAUAAAAAACCACCGACGAGAAUGAACAUGCUUUUAUCAAAAUUAUUUACGAGAAAGUUAAAUCAAACACAUUGUAAUGUUCUACAUUCACGAAAGACGAAUGGGACAGGAUCACGAAAGACGAAUGGGACAGGAUCAAUGAAGUCAUGAUAGUUUCAACAAAAAUGGAUUACGGCAUAGAUAGAUUGAAGGGAAAGUGGAACCGCUUACGUAAGAUUUGUCGCAUGUUCUCUGAACAUUUGGGACAUAUAGGUGUUACAUGAGAUCCAAACACCAACAAAGUUAAUGCUGCAGAGGAAGUUUGGCAACACUUUUAUACGAUUAACAAGUUGGAUUACAAAUUGUUCGGGAGGGAAUGAUGUAAGUACUACCACACUCUUGGGGAGAUAUUUAGCGAGACUACAGCUACUUGAAGAUUAGCCAGUGCCUCCACUCAGCUUCCAAACACAUCAGAGGAAGAAAGAUAGCUAGAAGAUGAUUUUUGGAAUAGGAGAGUGCAUGUACAUGCGGAAAAUGAUGAUGAAGUUGAUGUGGUUUCAAGUACUCGUUGACAUAACGAAAUUGGUACAUCGGGUGAACGGCGACGUAAGGAACUUAAGACCUAUAAAUUAAUAAACUUGAGGCCCGCGUGGCACAGUGGUCAUCUACAAUUAGUUUGAGGAAUGAAGAAACUAAACUUAGAACUCUUUACCUAAAAGAAAGCUUGUAAAGAUAUAAGGAAAAUCAAUUAAUCAAUCGGAUAGUGAAGUUAAUAGUCUGGAUCCUAUUCAAAUGUUAUCUGCUUGGACAUCUUAAACAAUAUGGAAGGGGUGUCCAACGAGGUUUAUAUAAAAGCAAUAAAGGCUUUUAAGGAUCCCGAUUUCAGGGUAUCAUUUGUGAAAAUACCAAAAGCAAGGAGGGGACCUAUAUUGGAACUACUUUAAUGUGACUGUUGUGUUAAUUUCUUUAGUAUUGUGUUGUUUUAAUUUGUAAUUACUUUGUGUUGUUUUUAACUAUCUUGGAACUACUUUGUGUUGUUUUGAAUUCUUUAGUAUUGUGGUGAGGUUGUACUGUUUUCAUUUAUGAACAUAGUGGUGUUGAACA
Olea europaea var. sylvestris is the source of this 2191-nucleotide long non-coding RNA. RefSeq lists it as uncharacterized. NCBI's taxonomy places the organism in Eukaryota, Viridiplantae, Streptophyta, Magnoliopsida, Lamiales, Oleaceae. The record is from RefSeq and is a predicted model, not a curated record. The transcript has 2 exons.